Non-coding RNA from Microcebus murinus (gray mouse lemur), 813 nucleotides. NCBI's taxonomy places the organism in Eukaryota, Metazoa, Chordata, Mammalia, Primates, Cheirogaleidae. The record is from RefSeq and is a predicted model, not a curated record.
AGCUCAAGGGAUCCUCCCACCUCAUCCUCCCAUAGUGCAGGGUUUGACACGGCUAAAAGAAUAUCAGGAUUAUUGCUGGGGGCUGAUUCUGGCGUUCUGCCUUAUACUGACCACUCACUCCAGCCCGUGAUGCCCGUGUGCUGCCUGACGCAGCGGCAGUCAGCGUUGUCUUCAGAUGCGGUUGCCGCCUUGUGACUUGAUAAGAGGCCUGAGUUGUUGCACAUAAGCAAAUGCUCCCACUCAUGUCAAUUAUGGAUUAGUGAGUAAACUUCUCAUGAAGUGACAGACUAUAUGCUGUGCCCUAGAGCUCUGUGUCCCUUCGGGUGCCGGCCCUACCUGCUGCAACAGCUCUUGUCCUGUGAGGGCCUGGCAGGGGCAGAGCCGCGCGGGCAGUGCUCAGCGGCUUGUGUGAGGCCCAGGGUUAGGUUCUCUGGUUUCUACAUGGGAAAACUGACCACCUUCAACUGAGGAGACAUUGCUCACUAAGAAAACAGGUGGGUUUUCUAUACCGAACCUCCCUUGAACUGCACUUGACACUGGUCUCUGUCAGCCCACAUGCUCAACAGUGCAAAGCAUCCCCCGAGAUUCUCUCAGGUUGUGCAAGGUUCUGCUUUGAUGUGUCACCAUUUUAUGCAUCAGUGUUGGAAUAGGUGAGUUUUAACAGUUGUCAUGUUAUAUCCAGAUUAUAAAGCCAAAUCUAAUCUCUAGAUUUCUGGAUAUCUGCUGCCAAUGUUUGGGAACUGGCCAUAAUUAAAAGCCUUAUACAGUCAGGACUUUGAAGUAUGCUUUGAAAUAAAUUUCCCAUCAUCUGUA